Molecule: ribosomal RNA, 279 nt
Filed under: uncultured bacterium
Lineage: Bacteria
Description: partial 16S ribosomal RNA
Rfam family: Bacterial small subunit ribosomal RNA
Source: RNAcentral
UGCCAGCCGCCGCGGUAAUACAUAGGGGUCAAGCGUUGUCCGGAAUUAUUGGGUUUAAAGGGUCCGCAGGCUGUUUGUUAAGUCAGGGGUGAAAUCCUACCGCUCAACGGUAGAACUGCCUUUGAUACUGGCAAACUUGAGUUAUUGUGAAGUAGUUAGAAUGUGUAGUGUAGCGGUGAAAUGCAUAGAUAUUACAAAGAAUACCAAUUGCGAAGGCAGCUUUCCGGAUCAUUACUGACACUGAGGAACGAAAGCAUGGGUAGCGAAGAGGAUUAGAUA